GCAAGAGAGAGCAAACUGUGAAGAAUAUUUUUGCAGAUUAUCCUCCUACUGCAGAAGUUGAUCAUGCACUAGUGGGUUCGGCAUCAUCCCCUUUUACUGANAUGAUGGAUUAACAUCGAUGAAUAAGAACAUUUCUGAUUUGGAUUGGUUGAAUGGGAAAAGAUUUAGAGAGGAAUCUGAUAAAGAUCCACAUCCGAUUCACAAUUAUACUUCCCCACAAGAAAUUGAGGUUAUAGAUUUGUUAUCCCCAUCUUCAGGAUUCAAAAUUAGGUCAAGCAUAAAGAAGAGAAGAAUAUCUACUGUUUGUCCAGAGAUAAUCGACUUGACAUAGGCGCCUGAGUAAG
RNAcentral lists this unclassified non-coding RNA (344 nucleotides) under Hevea brasiliensis (rubber tree). Lineage: Eukaryota; Viridiplantae; Streptophyta; Magnoliopsida; Malpighiales; Euphorbiaceae. The record is from RNAcentral.